This 301-nucleotide ribosomal RNA is filed under the name uncultured bacterium. Its description in RNAcentral is "partial 16S ribosomal RNA". It matches the Rfam family "Bacterial small subunit ribosomal RNA", at positions 509 to 807 of the family's 1533-position model. The record is from RNAcentral.
CAGUAGCCGCGGUAACACCGAGGGUGCGAGCGUUAAUCGGAUUUACUGGGCGUAAAGCGUGCGUAGGCGGCUAAUUGAGUCGGAUGUGAAAUCCCCGAGCUUAACUUGGGAAUUGCAUUCGAUACUGGUUAGCUAGAGUGUGGGAGAGGAUGGUAGAAUUCCAGGUGUAGCGGUGAAAUGCGUAGAGAUCUGGAGGAAUACCGAUGGCGAAGGCAGCCAUCUGGCCUAACACUGACGCUGAGGUACGAAAGCAUGGGGAGCAAACAGGAUUAGAUACCCCCGUAGUCCCUGUCUCUUAUAC